Molecule: unclassified non-coding RNA, 440 nt
Filed under: Eccremocarpus scaber
Lineage: Eukaryota; Viridiplantae; Streptophyta; Magnoliopsida; Lamiales; Bignoniaceae
Description: partial external transcribed spacer
Source: RNAcentral
CUUGGCGUGUUUGGGCAUGUCGGAUCCCUGCUUUGGCAGCGACGACGUGGCUUGCGCGCCUCUUCAGCUAAUGGCACAAGUGCUCGCUAGCCUUGGCCGCUCUUGGUUUCCUGUGCUGCAUACCUGCCGUGAAGGCAUUAAAUAGUCCCAAACGUCCCUUUUCCGCCUUGUGCUGCGCCUCUUGGGGCUGCAGUGCGGGGCGGACCAUGAAGCAUGCGCCGUGGUCCACCAUCCUUCCGUUUUCAUGCGUGCUUGGGUGGUUGGCAUACGGCGUAUGCUUGAUCUCUCGGAUGCGGAAAAUAUUGUGGGCACGAGGCCCCGGCCUCUAUUUGCCCCUAAACAAAGCGUUCUACGCUUCGUGCGAACGACGUUCGUUUUUGUUUUGGCCGAGUUCUCGUGGCUCGGACCAUGCGAUAGCCGACGUCGGUGAGGAAUGCUAC